Molecule: long non-coding RNA, 1758 nt
Filed under: Cricetulus griseus (Chinese hamster)
Lineage: Eukaryota; Metazoa; Chordata; Mammalia; Rodentia; Cricetidae
Description: lncRNA (ENSCGRG00015042812.1)
Source: RNAcentral
ACCAGCUAAUUUCUCUCUCUUUGUGUCUCUCUGGUGUGUGUGUGUGUGUGUGUGUGUGUGUGUGUGUGUAUGCCAGAGGUUGCCUGCUGAGUUCCAGUUCCAAACAGUUGUGAGUUGCCUGUGAGUCCUGGCACCCAAACCCGGUCCUCUCCAGGAACAGUAUGGUGCUCUGCCUGAUGUCUCCAGGUUUCUGUUUCUGUCUCUCCCCUGCUUGAUACUAACAGGCUUUCCAUGGCAUUGGAAGACGAGACACAUGGUCAGGGCACCAAGGGAUGUUUGUAGUGGUCAAGGCAGCAGGCUGAGAGUCUCAGAAUGGGGGAUUGUUUGCAGAAGGAGCUGCCACACUGUGUGAGGGAGACACAGUAGCUCAAAGGGCUUUGUCACUAGCUGACCAGCUCUCUAGUCACUGCAUAAGAGAGGAGAGAAGGGGGAAGCUAUUAUCACCACGUCCCAUUCCCGAGACUCCUUUCUAGGAGGCCAGUUGAUCAUUAACUUCAUGUAUAAUAGGGUUGCACAGAUAGAUCCAUCCGUGGGGGGGGCGAGGCGGGGGCUGGAGCCCAAGGCCUCUUACAGGCUGGGCAAACACUCUUACUACACUCUCAGCCCAGGACUGCUGCGCUCUCCAGAUGAUUUGGCCCCAGAUACAUAAGGCUCAAAAUUAAAAUCACCGCAUCCGCAUGUGGGAAACACAUAAGGAAAAAGUAGAACAGUUUUUUUGUAUUAAAAAAAAAAAUACAGGAGCUGGAGUGAUGGCUCAGUAGCUAAGAGUACUGGCUGCUCUUCCAGAGGACCCAGGGUCAGUUCCCAUCAUUCAUAAGGCAGUAACAAGUGUCUGUAACUCCAGAAUCUGACACCCUUACACAGGAAACUCACCGAUGCACAUAAAAUAAAAAUAAAUUGUUAAAAAACAAAAGCACAACACAAAUGGACUAGAAAUGGAGCUCUGUGGAAGAGUGCUUAUGGAGCAUGAAUGAGGCCCUAGGUUCAAUCACCAGCACUUCAUAAACCCUGUGGUGUUACACCCCUGCAAUCCCAGCACUCCAGAGAGGCACAGGCAGCAGGAUUAGAAAUUCAAGGUCAUCCUUGACUACAUACUGAGUUCAAGGAUGGACUAGGCUACCUGAGAUUCUUGGGGAAAAAAACAAAACAAAAAACAACAACAACAACAAAAAAAAACCUAAAACACUGCAGAAAAUGGAACAUGGUGAUGUCUCAGACCUAUAAUCCCAGCAUCUGAACGAAAAGAAUUGCUGAGUAUGAGGCUAGAUUGGAUCACCUAAAUUCCAGGCUAGCUUAGACUAGAGUGAGAACCUGUCUCAACAAAACAAAACAAAAGCAGCCUGUGGUGGUGGAACACUUGGAAGGUAGAAGCAAGCAGGAAGCCAGCCUGGUCUACAAAGUGAGUUCCAGGAUAGCCAGGACCAUCUCGGAAAAACAAAACACAAACAAACAAACAAACAAAAAAAAAAACACAUACACAAAAACAUUUUAGAUAUGGAACCAACAAAUAAAAUUUAAAUGCUUCCAAUUUAAAGAUAUAAAACUUUCAUUAAAAUGCUUUCAAUGUCCAUUAUGCAACCUUCUUUUAUAAAAUCUCUGUGCUGUUAUGCCACUGCACACAUGAAAGUCAGAAGACAGAUUUCAGGAGUCACUUCUGCCCUUUCACUGUGGGCUCCAGGAAUCGAACUCAGGUCAUCAGGCUGGCACAGCAGGAACUUUCAAGACAGAACCAAGUCGCCAACCCCAGUGUGUGUGUAA